This 1531-nucleotide unclassified non-coding RNA is filed under the name Dimorphilus gyrociliatus. RNAcentral describes it as "cARD domain-containing protein". Lineage: Eukaryota; Metazoa; Annelida; Polychaeta; Dinophilidae. The record is from RNAcentral.
UGCUAUUCUAUUUUGGAACUUAAUUAUCAUAGAAAAAGAGACUACCAAUCUGUUUUUUGAAAGGAAUACUUUUUUCGUUUAAAAUAUUAAGAUAGAAUAAUUAAAAAAUUAAAUCUGAUCCCUUAAUUUCAUUUUUAAGUGAAGAAGAAUAAUAUUUCGAUUAGAAAAAUAUUCUAUUCGUUGACAUCGAGUCCCCCAGGUAAUCUGCCGCUAAGUGUUUAAGCCUAUUGUUGCUAAGUAAUACAAACCUUCUAGCUACUGAAGAAUAAAAUAAAACAUGGACGAAACCAGAGAAGAAGAUCAACAAGAGGAAGUACCUGAAGAAGAAAAUAAAGAAGAAAAGGAAGAAGAAAAAAAUGAGGAGGAGGAGCUCUUCGCUCAAACCGAAACUCUUCGGCAAGAAUUGAAAGAGGAAAUGAUCAAAGUUAUUGAAGAUGUAGUCUACGAACUAAAGUUAGCGGAUAAAUUAGUUGACGGUCUUAUACCUGACAGUGACGGUAUUUCUGAGGACGAAAUGAGUGAGACUAACAUUAAUUUUGUUUGCGAAGCUUUUUGGCAAAAUGCGGUGAACUCUAUUAAGAUAGCGGAUAUAUCCAUCGACGACAAUGAUAAAAAAAACGAUAAGGCAGACGAUGGACAAGAGGAAGAAGAAGCAGAAGCAGAGGAGGGUGCAGAAGAAAAAGAAAAAGGAGCAUCAGAAGAAGAUACUGAAAAAGAAAAAGAGGGAGAAAAAGAAGUUGAGCCAAAGAAUGAAUUAGAAGAAGAAAUGAAAGGAAAUGAAGAAAUCACUGAAGAGAAAACCAAAGAAGAAAUUGAAAAUAUUGCCGAAGAAACUACCGCUGAUGAAGAGAAAGGGGACGAUGAAAUAAUUGAGAUUAAAGAAAACAAAGAAAACUUUCUCUUUGUAGAAGCACUCUUUAGCGCAUUAAAUGAACUAGGUAAAGAAGAAUUGAUCGAAAAGAUAAAAAACUGGCAAAGCGUAGUUUCGCAAUGGAGAAAAUUACAAAUGAUACGAGAAAUGGCUGAGGAACGGAAACGCAAAGCCGAAGAGCUCUUCUUACAACAGCAAGAGCAAGAGGAUGAAGAAGAAGAAAUACAACCUCAAAGAACUCCUACUCCUCCACCAAUACCAUAUACUCAAGUUCUGUCAGAGUGCUCAGGAACUUUAUUAGAUUGCCUUCGCCUUGAUAUUCACCUAUUACAAAGAUUAGAGAAGGCAGAAGUUCUUUCUGAAGAUAUGAUUUUGGAUAUAAAGUGUCGGGCAAAUAGACAUGAUAGAGUGAAUAGGCUUAUACAUUUGCUGAUGAGAUUGGGUCCAGAAUCAUUGAGGAAUUUUAUAGAAGCUCUUAAGCAAAGUGAAGAUCAUUAUUUCUUGGCAAAUAUCUUAUCAUUUAGAACUUUUACUUAGAAACUUAUGUCUUAAAUUUGAGAUUUAUGAAAAGGAAAUAUAAGCUUUUUAUUAUUAUUUUACUUUAUAAAAAAAAGAGAGAAAAAAAAUCUUCAAUUAUCCCUAUCCUUAUAAAUAUUACAA